RNAcentral lists this ribosomal RNA (874 nucleotides) under uncultured Fibrobacterota bacterium. Its description in RNAcentral is "bacterial SSU rRNA". It matches the Rfam family "Bacterial small subunit ribosomal RNA", at positions 58 to 944 of the family's 1533-position model. Lineage: Bacteria; Pseudomonadati; Fibrobacterota. The record is from RNAcentral.
CAAGUCGAGCGCCCCGCAAGGGGAGCGGCGAACGGGUGAGUAACACGUAAGGAAUCUGCCCUGAAGCGGGGAAUAACUAUCCCAACGGAUAGCUAAUACCGCAUAAUGAUGGAGACGGCAUCGUCUCUUCUCAAAAGGCUUCGGCCACUUCAGGAUGACCUUGCGUCCCAUUAGCUUGUUGGCGGGGUAACGGCCCACCAAGGCUACGAUGGGUAUCCGGCCUGAGAGGGUGUACGGACACAUUGGGACUGAGAUACGGCCCAGACUCCUACGGGAGGCAGCAGUAGGGAAUUUUGCGCAAUGGGGGAAACCCUGACGCAGCAACGCCAUGUGUGGGAUGAAGCAUUUCGGUGUGUAAACCACUGUCAGCAGGGAAUAAACGACAGCUUCGGGCUGUUUUGAAUGUACCUGCAAAGGAAGCCCCGGCUAACUUCGUGCCAGCAGCCGCGGUAAUACGAGGGGGGCAAAUGUUGUUCGGAAUCACUGGGCGUAAAGGGAGCGUAGGCGGGUUCUUAAGUUAGGUGUUUAAUCCCGGGGCCCAACCCCGGACCGGCACUUAAAACUGGGAAUCUUGAAUAGUGGAGAGGUCGGUGGAAUUGGAGGUGUAGCGGUGGAAUGCGUAGAGAUCUCCAAGAACACCAGUUGCGAAGGCGGCCGACUGGACACAUAUUGACGCUGAGGCUCGAAAGCAUGGGGAGCAAACAGGAUUAGAUACCCUGGUAGUCCAUGCCAUAAACGAUGAAUACUAGGUUUUGGGCCCGUCAACGGUCCAGAGCCGCAGCUAACGCGUUAGGUAUUCCGCCUGGGGAGUACGGUCGCAAGACUGAAACUCAAAGGAAUUGACGGGGGCCCGCACAAGAGGUGGAGCAUGUGG